Molecule: long non-coding RNA, 459 nt
Organism: Patella vulgata (common limpet)
Lineage: Eukaryota; Metazoa; Mollusca; Gastropoda; Patellidae
Exons: 2
Source: RefSeq, a predicted model, not a curated record
AGAGAAAAUCGUGCAGGGCGGAUAAUAAACUGAUUUAUCACUAAACGAAGUCAAAGAAUGCAGCCAAACCAAGUCUGAUGGAUUUAUUAAUUGUGUUACCGAAACUGCUUCUCUGGCCUAUAGACAUAGGAUUAGUUUUAUUUCAUCAUAAAUUAUCGAUUUCCUGAAAACAAACAGUUUAUAGGACAGUGUCUCAUAUGCAGAUGUACAAACAAGCGGUCUUCAUAAAAUGCUUGGAGCUUCCAUGAUCUGCAGAAUGAAUGUUUUCAGCUUGGCAUGGGACAACUGACACAAGGAUAUUCCUCUUAUUUGUCAGUUCAAGGCCUUAAUGAGAAGAAUAACCAGUCACGUGGAGGGUUAUUUUUUUGUUAAAAUAUUGGCUUAUGUAUAAUAAAUACAUUACAUCUGCUGUUCUAUCUAUAGAAUAUAAAUACAUUACAAUAAAUACAUUACAUCUGC